AAAGUCGUAACAAGGUUUCCGUAGGUGAACCUGCGGAAGGAUCAUUAAUGAAUUACAAGUCGGCUGUCUGUGCUGGUGGCAACACAUGUGCACGUCGGUCGCAAAUCCACACACCUGUGCACUUUAGACUUUGGGGUUCGCAUUCACGUGCAGUCGGUCUCCUUUGGGAGGCUUGAAUCCCAGGGUAUUUUACACACACUCUGAAUGUAAUGGAAUGUACCUGUGCUUAACCGCGCAUUUAAUACAACUUUCAACAACGGAUCUCUUGGCUCUC
Molecule: unclassified non-coding RNA, 274 nt
Filed under: Basidiomycota sp.
Lineage: Eukaryota; Fungi; Basidiomycota
Description: partial contains small subunit ribosomal RNA, internal transcribed spacer 1, and 5.8S ribosomal RNA
Rfam family: Eukaryotic small subunit ribosomal RNA (bases 1-47)
Source: RNAcentral